This 495-nucleotide ribosomal RNA is filed under the name uncultured bacterium. RNAcentral's name for it is "partial 16S ribosomal RNA". It matches the Rfam family "Bacterial small subunit ribosomal RNA", at positions 28 to 507 of the family's 1533-position model. The record is from RNAcentral.
GACGAACGCUGGCGGCGUGCCUAAUACAUGCAAGUAGAACGCUGAAGGAGGAGCUUGCUUCUCUGGAUGAGUUGCGAACGGGUGAGUAACGCGUAGGUAACCUGCCUGGUAGCGGGGGAUAACUAUUGGAAACGAUAGCUAAUACCGCAUAAGAUUGACUAUUGCAUGAUAGUCAGUUAAAAGGUGCAAUUGCAUCACUACCAGAUGGACCUGCGUUGUAUUAGCUAGUUGGUGGGGUAACGGCUCACCAAGGCGACGAUACAUAGCCGACCUGAGAGGGUGAUCGGCCACACUGGGACUGGGACACGGCCCAGACUCCUACGGGAGGCAGCAGGAGGGAAUCUUCGGCAAUGGACGGAAGUCUGACCGAGCAACGCCGCGGGAGUGAAGAAGGUUUUCGGAUCGUAAAGCUCUGUUGUAAGAGAAGAACGAGUGUGAGAGUGGAAAGUUCACACUGUGACGGUAUCUUACCAGAAAGGGACGGCUAACUACGUG